This 896-nucleotide ribosomal RNA is filed under the name Arcopilus cupreus. RNAcentral describes it as "LSU rRNA". It matches the Rfam family "Eukaryotic large subunit ribosomal RNA", at positions 36 to 964 of the family's 3401-position model. Lineage: Eukaryota; Fungi; Ascomycota; Sordariomycetes; Sordariales; Chaetomiaceae. The record is from RNAcentral.
UAGCAUAUCAAUAAGCGGAGGAAAAGAAACCAACAGGGAUUGCCCUAGUAACGGCGAGUGAAGCGGCAACAGCUCAAAUUUGAAAUCUGGCCUCGGCCCGAGUUGUAAUUUGCAGAGGAAGCUUUAGGCGCGGCACCUUCUGAGUCCCCUGGAACGGGGCGCCAUAGAGGGUGAGAGCCCCGUAUAGUUGGAUGCCUAGCCUGUGUAAAGCUCCUUCGACGAGUCGAGUAGUUUGGGAAUGCUGCUCAAAAUGGGAGGUAAAUUUCUUCUAAAGCUAAAUACCGGCCAGAGACCGAUAGCGCACAAGUAGAGUGAUCGAAAGAUGAAAAGCACUUUGAAAAGAGGGUUAAAUAGCACGUGAAAUUGUUGAAAGGGAAGCGCUUGUGACCAGACUUGCGCCGGGCUGAUCAUCCGGUGUUCUCACCGGUGCACUCUGCCCGGCUCAGGCCAGCAUCGGUUCUCGCGGGGGGAUAAAGGCCCAGGGAACGUAGCUCCUCCGGGAGUGUUAUAGCCCUGGGUGCAAUGCCCUCGCGGGGACCGAGGUUCGCGCAUCUGCAAGGAUGCUGGCGUAAUGGUCACCAGCGACCCGUCUUGAAACACGGACCAAGGAGUCAAGGUUUUGCGCGAGUGUUUGGGUGUAAAACCCGCACGCGUAAUGAAAGUGAACGUAGGUGAGAGCUUCGGCGCAUCAUCGACCGAUCCUGAUGUUUUCGGAUGGAUUUGAGUAGGAGCGUUAAGCCUUGGACCCGAAAGAUGGUGAACUAUGCUUGGAUAGGGUGAAGCCAGAGGAAACUCUGGUGGAGGCUCGCAGCGGUUCUGACGUGCAAAUCGAUCGUCAAAUCUGAGCAUGGGGGGCGAAAGACUAAUCGAACCAUCUAGUAGCUGGUUACCGCCGA